GCCCUUAAGUUUCUUGGAAGUUAGUGGAACAGUCUGGAAAGGCUGGCGGCACAGGGUGAUAGCCCCGUACAUGAAAACGACCUUGAGAUGAAAGCGAGUAAGGCGGGACACGUGGUAUCCUGUCUGAACAUGGGGGGACCAUCCUCCAAGGCUAAAUACUCCUGGCUGACCGAUAGUGAACCAGUACCGUGAGGGAAAGGCGAAAAGAACCCCGGAGAGGGGAGUGAAAUAGAUCCUGAAACCGUGUGCGUACAAGCAGUAGGAGCAGACUUGUUCUGUGACUGCGUACCUUUUGUAUAAUGGGUCAGCGACUUAUAUUCAGUGGCGAGGUUAACCGUAUAGGGGAGCCGUAGGGAAACCGAGUCUUAACUGGGCGACACAGUCGCUGGAUAUAGACCCGAAACCGAGCGAUCUAUCCAUGAGCAGGGUGAAGGUUGAGUAACAUCAACUGGAGGCCCGAACCAGGAUCUGUUGAAAAAGAUUUGGAUGACUUGUGGAUCGGAGUGAAAGGCUAAUCAAGCUCGGAGAUAGCUGGUUCUCCUCGAAAGCUAUU
This 553-nucleotide ribosomal RNA is filed under the name Schaalia georgiae. RNAcentral describes it as "Actinomyces georgiae partial 23S ribosomal RNA". It matches the Rfam family "Bacterial large subunit ribosomal RNA", at positions 306 to 870 of the family's 2925-position model. Lineage: Bacteria; Bacillati; Actinomycetota; Actinomycetes; Actinomycetales; Actinomycetaceae. The record is from RNAcentral.